This is a non-coding RNA of Arachis ipaensis, 803 nucleotides long. Lineage: Eukaryota; Viridiplantae; Streptophyta; Magnoliopsida; Fabales; Fabaceae. The record is from RefSeq and is a predicted model, not a curated record.
UUAUUUGUCUACAAAAUUUUAUUUAUAUUUAAAAGUAGUCAAAAUAUUAUUUUAAAAGUCUAUUUUUCUAACACAAGGAUAUGCUUCAUUGAGAAGAUUAGAAUAUAUGCAUGAACUAUACAAAUCCUGGAAGCUUUUACGAUGGUAAAAAUAUUUUAAGAUCCUUAAAAGACCAAAAUAUGUUAUAGAAUUGUGAAAAAUUCGAAGAUAGUAAAUAUGCCAAUUUAGCAUUAGCCUCCCUUUAUUGUUGACGUGGACCGGAAACUGUAGACUUAACUCCAAUUAACGUUAAUGUGACCAAUAAAUGGAGUUCUUGUCUGGGUUUCAAUUGCAAUGCUCGCGGUUUAGCCACCGCAGAGCUAAGGACCCAGAGUAGUAAACUAGCUUCACCCCCUCCAAUCAACAGUGAAAACGUGGAAGGAUCUCCUCUAUAGACGGAAAACAACCUGAUCCCAUGGCAGCAGUGUUCAACAAUACAUCAACGCUCUCAUUUUCCAUCACCAACAAUAAAUGAGAUUGGUGAAGGUAGCACCUUCUUGGGUGGAAGUGUUCUCCAUUAAUUUCUCUAGGAUAUUAAGAUUGGAAGUUUGAGGCAGCAAGCAAAAGAUGAAAAUAUCGUUGGGAAGGAAAGUGAGACCGAUCAAGUUAAUGGAGUCCCAAAUGGAAAAAACGGCCCAGAAAAAGUUAUCAUCAUACCAGCAGAGGAAGUUUCUCUCAACCAAAAUCCAAAGCCACCUCCUUCCAAGGUCAUCAACAAAAGAAGACGGAAGGAAGAUGCAUUUGAAUAUUUUUCCCCCUUCUGU